Molecule: ribosomal RNA, 738 nt
Filed under: uncultured bacterium
Lineage: Bacteria
Description: bacterial SSU rRNA
Rfam family: Bacterial small subunit ribosomal RNA
Source: RNAcentral
CAUGCAUGUCGAACGCUCCGCAUGGAGAGUGGCAUACGGGUGAGUAACGCGUGAGAACCUUCCUAUCGGUUCGGAAUAGCUCGCGUGAAACUUGGGGUAAUACCGGAUAUUCCCUACGAGGGGAAAGAUUGAUCGGCAAUAGAUGGGCCCGCGUCUGAUUAACUAGUUGGUGAGGUAACGGCUCACCAAGGCGACCAUCAGUAUCUGGUUUGAGAGAAUGACCAUCCACACUGGGACUGAAACACGGCCCACACUCCUACAGGAGGCAGCAGUGGGGAAUCUUGGACAAUGUGCGCAAGCCUGAUCCAGCCAUGCCGCGUGAGUGACGAAGGGCUUAUGGUUGUAUAGCUCUUUUACCACGUAAGAUAAUGACGGUACCUGCAGAAUAACCCCCGGCUAACUUCGUGCCAUCACCCGCGGUGAUACGAAUGGGGCUAGCGUUGUUCCGAAUUACUGGGCGUCAAGAGCACGUAUGCCGAUCAUUUAGUCACGGGUGAGAUCCCGGGGCUCGACCUCAGAACUGCCUUUGAGGCUGAUGGUCUCAAGUCCCGAAAACGUGAGUGGAAUCCUAGUGUAGACGUGAUAUUCCUAAAGCUCAAGAACAAGUGCAGUGGCCAAUGCAUUUCAUUGAUUCGGUACUGAGCCUCAGGUGUCAAAGCGUGGGAAGCAUACAGGAUUAGAUACCCUGGUAAUCCACACGCUAGACUACGGAUACUAUCCAUCGGCUACCGCGCGUAG